GUAUACGGCCAUACCACCCUGAACACACCCAAUCUCCUCUGAUCUCGGAAACUAAGCAGAGUCGGGCCUGGUUAGUACUUGGAUGGGAGACAAAACAAAAAUCCAAAACCAGGAUGAAGUCUUGG
RNAcentral lists this ribosomal RNA (125 nucleotides) under Callithrix jacchus (white-tufted-ear marmoset). Lineage: Eukaryota; Metazoa; Chordata; Mammalia; Primates; Cebidae. The record is from RNAcentral.